This 712-nucleotide ribosomal RNA is filed under the name uncultured bacterium. RNAcentral's name for it is "bacterial SSU rRNA". It matches the Rfam family "Bacterial small subunit ribosomal RNA", at positions 104 to 810 of the family's 1533-position model. The record is from RNAcentral.
GGGUGAGUAACACGUAUGCAACCUGGCCGUGACAGAUGGAUAACCGGGAGAAAUCCCGCCUAAUACAACAUAAUGCCGGGAGGGGACAUCCCCUGCCGGCCAAAGGGGGCGACCCCGGUCACGGAUGGGCAUGCGGCGCAUUAGGUAGUUGGUGGGGCAACGGCCCACCAAGCCGACGAUGCGUAGGGGUUCUGAGAGGAAGGUCCCCCACAUUGGAACUGAGACACGGUCCAAACUCCUACGGGAGGCAGCAGUGAGGAAUAUUGGUCAAUGGCCGGAAGGCUGAACCAGCCAAGUCGCGUGAGGGAAUAAGGCCCUACGGGUCGUAAACCUCUUUUGCCAGGGAGCAAUGCCGUCCACGUGUGGACGGAUGGAGAGUACCUGGAGAAAAAGCAUCGGCUAACUCCGUGCCAGCAGCCGCGGUAAUACGGAGGAUGCGAGCGUUAUCCGGAUUUAUUGGGUUUAAAGGGUGCGUAGGCGGCCUGCCAAGUCAGCGGUAAAAUUGCGGGGCUCAACCCCGUACAGCCGUUGAAACUGCCGGGCUCGAGUGGGCGAGAAGUAUGCGGAAUGCGUGGUGUAGCGGUGAAAUGCAUAGAUAUCACGCAGAACCCCGAUUGCGAAGGCAGCAUACCGGCGCCCUACUGACGCUGAGGCACGAAAGUGCGGGGAUCAAACAGGAUUAGAUACCCUGGUAGUCCGCACAGUAAACGAU